Molecule: ribosomal RNA, 253 nt
Filed under: uncultured bacterium
Lineage: Bacteria
Description: partial 16S ribosomal RNA
Rfam family: Bacterial small subunit ribosomal RNA
Source: RNAcentral
CACGUAGGGCGCAAGCGUUGUCCGGAAUUAUUGGGCGUAAAGAGCUCGUAGGUGGUCUGUUGCGUCCGCUGUGAAAACUCGGGGCUUAACCCCGAGCCUGCAGUGGAUACGGGCAGACUAGAGGUAGGUAGGGGAGAAUGGAAUUCCUGGUGUAGCGGUGAAAUGCGCAGAUAUCAGGAGGAACACCGGUGGCGAAGGCGGGUCUCUGGGCAGUAACUGACGCUGAGGAGCGAAAGCGUGGGGAGCGAACAGG